UUAGUGGCGGAAGGGUUAGUAAUACAUAGAUAAUCUGUCCUCAACUUGGGAAUAACGGUUGGAAACGACCGCUAAUACCGAAUGUAGUAUGUUUAGGCAUCUAAAACAUAUUAAAGAAGGGGAUCUUCGGACCUUUCGGUUAAGGGAGAGUCUAUGGGAUAUCAGCUUGUUGGUGGGGUAAUGGCCUACCAAGGCUUUGACGUCUAGGCGGAUUGAGAGAUUGACCGCCAACACUGGGACUGAGACACUGCCCAGACUUCUACGGAAGGCUGCAGUCGAGAAUCUUUCGCAAUGGACGAAAGUCUGACGAAGCGACGCCGCGUGUGUGAUGAAGGCUCUAGGGUUGUAAAGCACUUUCGCUUGGGAAUAAGAGAGA
Molecule: ribosomal RNA, 376 nt
Filed under: uncultured Chlamydia sp.
Lineage: Bacteria; Pseudomonadati; Chlamydiota; Chlamydiia; Chlamydiales; Chlamydiaceae
Description: bacterial SSU rRNA
Rfam family: Bacterial small subunit ribosomal RNA
Source: RNAcentral